CGAACCUGGGCCAUCAGAUCACUCCCCGACCUGAGGAGCAAGGCGUCUGGAAAACAGCUGCGACUGUAGAUGAAAGGAGACAGAGACUUCUGUGAAUGAUCUGCCCAGCGUCAUGGCCGCGGGCUGGUCACAAGGGGGCCGCCCCCUGGCCCCUCCCCUCUCGACGUGCGGCCCCCAACCCCGGAUUCUGCCCUCCUGCAGUGAUGAAUGGCACCGCUGUCCCGCGCAGGCAGGCAAACCUCUUCCUGAAACAGACUCUGCUGGAGGCAACAGCAGCAACAGAUUCUACAGAAAGCCCCUGAAAUGGAGGCUCAGGCCUCACCUAGCUCCAGGCCCGCACUCCACAGAAAAAAAGAUUCACCCGGCGUGGGGGUGGGGGCUUCCAGAGAUGGCAACCCUCUGGCAGGAAUCCCUCAGGAUCCUGUCAGAGCCUGGUCUCUGGGAGUUGACGGAGGGAGGGAGGGAGAGAGAGAGAGAGAAAGAGAGAGAGAUUAUCCCAGAAUGUGCAGGGGAGGAAGCAUAAGCAAGGGCUCAGGCUCAGAGAGACCUGAGCCCAGGCACAUGCUUGCUGUGUGACCUCGGAUAAAACACUUAACUUCUCUGAGCCUUAGUUGUGUCAAUUUUUAAAGAGAAAUUGAAAUAAUAACCCUAGCCCAAUGUGAACACUGAGUCAUAGUAUAUAUCAAGUAAAAGACCUUUUUGGCGAGCUUUAUCUGUCACACCUCUUUUUUCAGUCCGCUCCUGAAAAUCAGCAUAGAGAACAACUCCUGAUGCAGAGUAGAGGAGAAGAGAAUGCCUUUCUCUUUCAAAGCUCUCUCAAAGUUAUGGCUCAGUUCACCCGAUCAUCCAUCCUAGGCAGUCCAUAUACAGGAGCAUGUAUUCAACAAAGAUGCCAUAGGUGCAUUAUAGCGCUAGAUUGUGCUGGGAGAAGCACAAGAUACAACUGUUUGUGUCCUGAAGUCCAUACGCCAGGAGACUUUUCCUUUUCUUUGACAGAUCCGGCAUCCAAGGCGACAACCCGGAGGAAAGCUAUCUCCAGGGCUUGUUGCCCUUCCGGUCCAAUCCCAAGAAAAUUACGGUUUAUUACAGCGGAUGUUUAAUGCUACAUUUAAUCUCUCUGAGAAAGUCACACACCUCCCCUCAAAACCUCACGAUUAGGAUUCAGCUCUCUUAACUUGGCAGUGGCAUCUAGUGGAUACCUCCGCACAAUGGAUAUCACUGAUUUUGUGACUUGGUUUAGAUUCGACCAUAUCUCAGUCACAUACUAGCACCCGGAGGGAAAGUGCUUUGGAAUUAUAGACUGGCUUGUGCAGGAAAACGUGCUUUUUCUCCCCUAGGGAAGGGCAUUUUCUCAGCCACAGCUAAGCAAAGAGUUGCUCCACUCUGGGUUAGCAGCCCUAGAAGGAAAUGCUGAGUCAGUCAUUUGCUAGCUGUGCCACCUGUGGCUUGGAUCCCAGCUGCUCUGAGACAGCCCUGCACCCUUUAUGCAGGCAGGGAGGCAGGGCACAAUUUAUAAAUACUUCUGUCUUCUGAGCCUUCGCUUUCUCCUGUGCAAAAUCAGAAUCAUGAGAAUGCCAGCCCUACCUAGAUUGGUUUAUUCAGCAGAUAUGUAAAGAGCACCUACUGCUGCACUGGGCACUAUGAAUAUACAGCCAAACAAAACUGGGCACAAAAGCAAGUAAGCCAGAGUCCCUGCCUGAGGUCCACAUCGGGAAAUGCAUAGGAAUGUGCUGUGAAGAUUAAUGUUAGUUAAUAAAGGCCUAAAAACCA
This 1770-nucleotide long non-coding RNA is filed under the name Homo sapiens (human). RNAcentral's name for it is "HSALNT0407634". The record is from RNAcentral. Lineage: Eukaryota; Metazoa; Chordata; Mammalia; Primates; Hominidae.